Molecule: ribosomal RNA, 491 nt
Filed under: uncultured bacterium
Lineage: Bacteria
Description: partial 16S ribosomal RNA
Rfam family: Bacterial small subunit ribosomal RNA
Source: RNAcentral
AGUGAACGCUGGCGGUAGGCCUAACACAUGCCAGUCGAACGGCAGCACAGUAAGAGCUUGCUCUUACGGGUGGCGAGUGGCGGACGGGUGAGGAAUACAUCGGAAUCUACUUUUUCGUGGGGGAUAACGUAGGGAAACUUACGCUAAUACCGCAUACGACCUACGGGUGAAAGCAGGGGAUCUUCGGUCCUUGCGCGAUUGAAUGAGCCGAUGUCGGAUUAGCUAGUUGGCGGGGUAAAGGCCCACCAAGGCGACGAUCCGUAGCUGGUCUGAGAGGAUGAUCAGCCACACUGGAACUGAGACACGGUCCAGACUCCUACGGGAGGCAGCAGUGGGGAAUAUUGGACAAUGGGCGCAAGCCUGAUCCAGCCAUACCGCGUGGGUGAAGAAGGCCUUCGGGUUGUAAAGCCCUUUUGUUGGGAAAGAAAAGCAGCAGGUUAAUACCCCGCUGUUCUGACGGUACCCAAAGAAUAAGCACCGGCUAACUUCGU